This is a long non-coding RNA of Astyanax mexicanus (Mexican tetra), 1675 nucleotides long. RefSeq lists it as uncharacterized. The record is from RefSeq and is a predicted model, not a curated record. NCBI's taxonomy places the organism in Eukaryota, Metazoa, Chordata, Actinopteri, Characiformes, Acestrorhamphidae. The transcript has 4 exons.
GCUACUGACCGCACACACAUCUACUGACCGCACACACAUACUGACCACACAUUCUGCUAUGUCUGCCGUACACACAGCUACUGACCACACACACCUACUGACCCCACACACCUACUGACUGCACACAGCUACUGACCACACACUCCACUAUGCCUACCGCACACAGCUACUGACCACACACACCUACUGACCACACACACCUACUGACCACACACAGCUACUGACUGCACACAGCUACUAACUACACACAGCUACUGACCACACACAGCUACUGACCUCACACAGCUACUGACCGCACACAGCUACUGACCGCACACACCUACUGACCACACACAGCUACUGACCAAACACAGCUACUGAGCACACACAGCUACUGACCGCACCGGAGGGUGGUUGGAGUGAUUAGGGAGUGUGGUUGGAGUGAUUAGGGAGUGUGGUUGGAGUGUUUAGGGAGUGUGGUUGGAGUGAUUAUGGAGUGUGGUUGGAGUGAUUAUGGAGUGUGGUUGGAGUGAUUAGGGAGGGUGGUUGGAGUGCUUAAGGAGUGUGGUUGGAGUGCUUAAGGAGUGUGGUUGGAGUGAUUAUGGAGUGUGGUUGGAGUGAUUAGGGAGUGUGGUUGGAGUGCUUAAGGAGUGUGGUUGGAGUGAUUAAGGAGUGUGGUUGGAGUGUGGUUGGAGUGCUUAAGGAGUGUGGUUGGAGUGAUUAUGGAGUGUGAUUGGAGUGAUUAGGGGUGGUUGGAGUGUUUAGGGAGUGUGGUUGGAGUGAUUAUGGAGUGUGGUUAAAGUGUUUAGGGAGUGUGGUUGGAGUGAUUAUGAAGUGUGGUUGUAGUGAUUAUGGAGUGUGGUUAAAGUGUUUAGGGAGUGUGGUUGGAGUAAUUAUGGAGUGUGGUUGGAGUGAUUAGGGGGUGUGGUUGGAGUAAUUAUGGAGUGUGGUUGGAGUGAUUAGGGAGUGUGGUUGGAGUGAUUAUGGAGUGUGGUUGGAGUGAUUAGGGAGGGUGGUUGGAGUGCUUAAGGAGUGUGGUUGGAGUGCUUAAGGAGUGUGGUUGGAGUGAUUAUGGAGUGUGGUUGGAGUGAUUAGGGAGUGUGGUUGGAGUGCUUAAGGAGGGUGGUUGGAGUGAUUAUGGAGUGUGGUUGGAGUGAUUAGGGAGUGUGGUUGGAGUGAUAAGGGGUGGUUGGAGUGAUUAGGGAGUGUGGUUGGAGUGAUUAGGGGUGGUUGGAGUGAUUAGGGGUGGUUGGAGUGAUAAGGGGUGGUUGGAGUGAUUAUGGAGUGUGGUUGGAGUGAUUAGGGAGUGUGGUUGGAGUGAUAAGGGGUGGUUGGAGUGAUUAUGGAGUGUGGUUGGAGUGAUUAGGGAGUGUGGUUGGAGUGAUAAGGGGUGGUUGGAGUGAUAACUGGUGUGAACUGGUUUGGAUUGGUGCAAACAGGUUUAAACUGGUUUGACCUGGCGUAAUCUGGCGUAAUCUGGCGUAAUCUGGUGUAAACUGGUUUAAACUGGGGUAAACUGGUGUAAACUGGUUUAAACUGGGGUAUGAAUAAGGAGCUGCUCUGCCUUACUGGAACUUUUACUGUAAAAUAAACUUAAUCUGUUUAUUUUUAUAUUAAAACUGUAAUUAUGUCUGUAUUUAACCAAUGUAAUUAAUACUGUAAUUAAGUAAGAAAUAAAUACUGAUUGGUUUCUAAA